UACAUGCAAGUCGAGCGAAUGGAUUAAGAGCUUGCUCUUAUGAAGUUAGCGGCGGACGGGUGAGUAACACGUGGGUAACCUGCCCAUAAGACUGGGAUAACUCCGGGAAACCGGGGCUAAUACCGGAUAAUAUUUUGAACUGCAUGGUUCGAAAUUGAAAGGCGGCUUCGGCUGUCACUUAUGGAUGGACCCGCGUCGCAUUAGCUAGUUGGUGAGGUAACGGCUCACCAAGGCAACGAUGCGUAGCCGACCUGAGAGGGUGAUCGGCCACACUGGGACUGAGACACGGCCCAGACUCCUACGGGAGGCAGCAGUAGGGAAUCUUCCGCAAUGGACGAAAGUCUGACGGAGCAACGCCGCGUGAGUGAUGAAGGCUUUCGGGUCGUAAAACUCUGUUGUUAGGGAAGAACAAGUGCUAGUUGAAUAAGCUGGCACCUUGACGGUACCUAACCAGAAAGCCACGGCUAACUACGUGCCAGCAGCCGCGGUAAUACGUAGGUGGCAAGCGUUAUCCGGAAUUAUUGGGCGUAAAGCGCGCGCAGGUGGUUUCGUAAGUCUGAUGUUAAAGCCCACGGGUCAACCUGGAGGGUCAUUGGAAACUGGGAGACUUGAGUCAGAAGAGGAAAGUGGAAUUCCAUGUGUAGCGGUGAAAUGCGUAGAGAUAUG
Molecule: ribosomal RNA, 666 nt
Filed under: Bacillus wiedmannii
Lineage: Bacteria; Bacillati; Bacillota; Bacilli; Caryophanales; Bacillaceae
Description: bacterial SSU rRNA
Rfam family: Bacterial small subunit ribosomal RNA
Source: RNAcentral